UAUAUUGCCAAAUUGCCCUCCAGAAA
This 26-nucleotide non-coding RNA is filed under the name Homo sapiens (human). Lineage: Eukaryota; Metazoa; Chordata; Mammalia; Primates; Hominidae. The record is from RNAcentral.